AUGAACUGGAGCAAGUCAAAAGUGCGCUUGGACUCUGCUGGUUGUGGUUCUAGUGGGCUGACCCUCCCAAGACUUGGUCCAGCAUGGAAACACCUUGUAGUGACGGCGACAAGGAUCACUGUCACGACGGUGACUAUUGGUGACCGUAAAAAGGCUAAAUUCUGGAAAUCUUCAUGGCUUCAUGGUCUCCGACCCAGAGAUGUCGCGCCCAAGAUAUUUGAGAUAUCUAAAAAGAAGGCGUGCCUGGUCAGCAAGGCUCUGGACAACAACUUCUGGAUCAGGCAGAUUGAUACUAGUAAGGGCCUCACCUUGAGUAUCCAGGAGUUCGCUGCCCUUUGGGAGAUGCUCCAUGAUGUUACUUUCAACUUGGACAGGAAGGACACAAUAUCUUGGAAAUUCACUUCUAGUGCACGACGAGGUGGGGAGAGGAGGAAGGAAGAAGCUUCCCGGAUCGCCAUCAGUCAAACGCCCACCGGAAAGGGAAAGCGGAGCUGCGGCCGCGACCAGUAA
This 510-nucleotide ribosomal RNA is filed under the name Triticum aestivum (bread wheat). RNAcentral's name for it is "partial small subunit ribosomal RNA". The record is from RNAcentral. Lineage: Eukaryota; Viridiplantae; Streptophyta; Magnoliopsida; Poales; Poaceae.